RNAcentral lists this ribosomal RNA (497 nucleotides) under uncultured bacterium. Its description in RNAcentral is "partial 16S ribosomal RNA". It matches the Rfam family "Bacterial small subunit ribosomal RNA", at positions 28 to 507 of the family's 1533-position model. The record is from RNAcentral.
GAUGAACGCUGGCGGCGUGCCUAAUACAUGCCAGUCGAGCGAACAGACGAGGAGCUUGCUCCUCUGACGUUAGCGGCGGACGGGUGAGUAACACGUGGAUAACCUACCUAUAAGACUGGGAUAACUUCGGGAAACCGGAGCUAAUACCGGAUAAUAUAUUGAACCGCAUGGUUCAAUAGUGAAAGACGGUUUUGCUGUCACUUAUAGAUGGAUCCGCGCCGCAUUAGCUAGUUGGUAAGGUAACGGCUUACCAAGGCAACGAUGCGUAGCCGACCUGAGAGGGUGAUCGGCCACACUGGAACUGAGACACGGUCCAGACCCCUACGGGAGGCAGCAGUAGGGAAUCUUCCGCAAUGGGCGAAAGCCUGACGGAGCAACGCCGCGUGAGUGAUGAAGGUCUUCGGAUCGUAAAACUCUGUUAUUAGGGAAGAACAAAUGUGUAAGUAACUAUGCACGUCUUGACGGUACCUAAUCAGAAAGCCACGGCUAACUACGUG